RNAcentral lists this ribosomal RNA (560 nucleotides) under uncultured Alphaproteobacteria bacterium. Its description in RNAcentral is "bacterial SSU rRNA". It matches the Rfam family "Bacterial small subunit ribosomal RNA", at positions 338 to 916 of the family's 1533-position model. Lineage: Bacteria; Pseudomonadati; Pseudomonadota; Alphaproteobacteria. The record is from RNAcentral.
CCUACGGGAGGCAGCAGUGGGGAAUAUUGGACAAUGGGGGCAACCCUGAUCCAGCAAUGCCGCGUGUGUGAUGAAGGCCCUAGGGUUGUAAAGCACUUUCACUGGUGAAGAUGAUGACGGUAGCCAGAGAAGAAGCCCCGGCUAACUUCGUGCCAGCAGCCGCGGUAAUACGAAGGGGGCGAGCGUUAUUCGGAAUUACUGGGCGUAAAGGGAGCGCAGGCGGUUCAUUUAGUCAGACGUGAAAGCCCCGGGCUCAACCCGGGAGGUGCGUUUGAUACUGGUGAGCUAGAAAUCAGAAGAGGAUAGUGGAAUUCCCAGUGUAGAGGUGAAAUUCGUAGAUAUUGGGAAGAACACCAGUGGCGAAAGCGGCUAUCUGGUCUGUAUUUGACGCUGAGGCUCGAAAGCGUGGGGAGCAAACAGGAUUAGAUACCCUGGUAGUCCACGCCGUAAACGAUGACAGCUAGAUGUCGGGGGGAUACCUCUCGGUGUCGUACGCUAACGCAUUAAGCUGUCCGCCUGGGAAGUACGGUCGCAAGAUUAAAACUCAAAGGAAUUGACGG